AAUGGAGGCCGAUUGGGUUUUGAGGAGUCUUCUUUGUGCAUCCUGAGCCCUGACUGUGAGCUUUAUAUUUGUGAUGGUGACGACGACACCAGCACAGACAGCUGUCGUGAUUACCAAGAUUUUAACACAGAGGAAGACUACCUCCCAAUCCGCUGGAGAUCAAAUAAACUCAACAUGACCCGACUCGAUCCUCCGCCUCACCGACCGCACACACGAGCUUGGAUGGAUGACGCUCGGAGUCAAGACGGAUUUAGCAGACGCUCAGGUUUGAAAGAAGACCGGGACAGACGAGAAAGUGGUUACUUUUCCCUCGGCAGAGCUGCGGGAGUUCGUUCAGUUCGUGAUAGCAGCCCACCUGGUCCUUUUCGCCAUUUUGAGAAAGGCCACCCCAUCUUCAAUAACAGAAGCAUCGAGCCCAAAGAUACUAUUCCCUUCAGAAACCCUAUCCUUGGUGUGGCCUCUCAUAGACAGAUACCAGAGGCUUUUGAUGAUGAACUGCUUAUGGAAAUUCAUCCUCCUGAUCCUUAUGAAGUUGCAGUUGAGGUUGAGGCUCAAGUCGGCCCUCGCUCUCCAAGUCCUACUCCAUUCAAGCAAGCCGAGUCACUGGUCUCAAGGAGCCAAAAGGUGGUUGGGAACUCAUUCAACCGAGGUAGCCCCACGUCUCACCUUUCAUCUCAUAAACAGUCAGGCCGGUUUGAGUUCUCCAGGCCAGGCUCAGCUCUGCAGUCUCGCUCUUCUUCCCCCUCACGAGGAAGCUUGGUACCCUUUAGGCGCACUGAAUCCAGCAUUUCCCUUAGCAGACGUGACAUUGACAGCAGAGGGUGGUCGCAGGGGGCAAGUGGAGGAUACAAAGGGACACCGCAAGGCACAUCUGGACGACGUGGUGUGUCAGGGACUCUUCCAAGAAAUUUUAAAUCCUCUACUGGUUCAGUCAAAACACAAUCCAACACAGUUUCGGAUUUUAGAGGUGCCUUACGGAAAACAGAGUUAAACCGUUCCACAAAUGAACGAAGUGAGAUCAGAAACUCAUCUCCCCCAAGGAGAGACUACAAUUCUUAUGGCCAAAUGUCUCUUAAAAAAAGUGAAGUUACACGUAGCAUAUCGCGUGGA
This 1110-nucleotide long non-coding RNA is filed under the name Gouania willdenowi (blunt-snouted clingfish). Its description in RNAcentral is "lncRNA (ENSGWIG00000005676.1)". Lineage: Eukaryota; Metazoa; Chordata; Actinopteri; Blenniiformes; Gobiesocidae. The record is from RNAcentral.